GGGCCCGUAGCUCAGCUUGGUAGAGCAUCGGGCUCUUAACCCGAGGGUCGGGGGUUCAAAUCCCCCCGGGCCCG
RNAcentral lists this transfer RNA (74 nucleotides) under Nanoarchaeota archaeon NZ13-N. RNAcentral's name for it is "tRNA-Lys". It matches the Rfam family "tRNA". From Rfam's summary of the family: Transfer RNA (tRNA) molecules are approximately 80 nucleotides in length. The record is from RNAcentral. Lineage: Archaea; Nanobdellati; Nanobdellota. RNAcentral also lists the same sequence under 1 other name.